UUUACGGAAUGAAGUGCAUAUUUGAACUUCUAAAUAAUAAUAAUUGCUAGAAUUGAAGUUUCAGCGGCUAGAAUUGAGUUUCACUUAUUUAAAAAAAAUCAGUUGAGUAGCCUUGAUCUUGAUAGUAUGACGUAAUGACUUGCAGGAGCGUAUACAUGCUUCCUCUGAGCUAGCUUAAAGUGGGGUUGUCAUUUUAGCAGGGACCUCAGGAAAACUGGAACAGUGAAGAAACGGUGUGUGGUUACAGACUUUUGUGUGAGGUUUUGAAAGUUAGGUAGGCGACUCUAGGCUGAGGAGCUCAGAAAACUGUUUACUGCCUCCAAAAUGUCAGAAAGUAAAUUGUCAAUAUUUUUGUUAUUUUUCAAUCUACAUGGCUGAAAUUUUGACAGUGAAUGGCUGGUAGGCAUAGAAAUCUGUACCUAAAAAGCUGAAAUGAGAGCGCUCGGACAAUGUGAAGUUUGUCGCAUAGACGGGGAUUGACCGCCUUUGUACAUAUAUGUCUACAGCUUCUCAGAUUUGACCGAAGACAGUUGUUCGGUGUUGUGAAUGGGUAAAUAAUUCCAUUUUAGAUGCAUUUAAUCAAGAUCAGGUACUUUCUGUGAUUUUGUAAAAUUUAAUAGACUUCGUUAAAUUGCAUCGGCAAGCGAAAAAAAGCCAGAAAAUAGAAUUGUAGUGGAAUAACAUUAUUUCAGCCAGUUUUGCCAUAAUGACUACUUUCUAAAUCAUGUGUGGUAGUGAGAUAACAUUUAUAAUCAGUUACCAUGAAAUUGGACAGGAAUUUGUUCAUAAUAGUUGAUGCAGUAAGCUGUAUUCCCAGUGUGAAUACUCAGUUCAGAUUGUAGCUAAUUUCACCUGAAAAUAGUAAACAUUGCUUCAGAUCUAGCAGUCAGUAAAGCAAGGAAACUGGACAGACUGCUUUGUGAUUGAUAGUUUUGUUAUUCAGACUGUUUGUUAUGACACAUUUUACUUACAUAAGACUUGAAUUUGA
Long non-coding RNA from Mercenaria mercenaria, 988 nucleotides. RefSeq lists it as uncharacterized. The transcript is spliced from 3 exons. Lineage: Eukaryota; Metazoa; Mollusca; Bivalvia; Venerida; Veneridae. The record is from RefSeq and is a predicted model, not a curated record.